UUGAUCCCUGGCUCAGAUUGAACGCUGGCGGCAGGCCUAACACAUGCAAGUCGAGCGGAUGACAGGAGCUUGCUCCUGAAUUCAGCGGCGGACGGGUGAGUAAUGCCUAGGAAUCUGCCUGGUAGUGGGGGACAACGUUUCGAAAGGAACGCUAAUACCGCAUACGUCCUACGGGAGAAAGCAGGGGACCUUCGGGCCUUGCGCUAUCAGAUGAGCCUAGGUCGGAUUAGCUAGUUGGUGGGGUAAUGGCUCACCAAGGCGACGAUCCGUAACUGGUCUGAGAGGAUGAUCAGUCACACUGGAACUGAGACACGGUCCAGACUCCUACGGGAGGCAGCAGUGGGGAAUAUUGGACAAUGGGCGAAAGCCUGAUCCAGCCAUGCCGCGUGUGUGAAGAAGGUCUUCGGAUUGUAAAGCACUUUAAGUUGGGAGGAAGGGCAGUAACUUAAUACGUUGCCGUCUUGACGUUACCGACAGAAUAAGCACCGGCUA
This 492-nucleotide ribosomal RNA is filed under the name Pseudomonas sp. CL4.115. Its description in RNAcentral is "bacterial SSU rRNA". It matches the Rfam family "Bacterial small subunit ribosomal RNA", at positions 13 to 499 of the family's 1533-position model. The record is from RNAcentral. Lineage: Bacteria; Pseudomonadati; Pseudomonadota; Gammaproteobacteria; Pseudomonadales; Pseudomonadaceae.